CCUCUCCUGGGCGGAGUCUGGUUGCCACUGGGAUGGGGUGGGACCAGGGAGUCCUCGGGGGUGGGGGUGUGGAGGCCUGUGGGUCUACAGUGUGGAGCACUGGGCCUUGGCCAGCCAAGGGGGCAGAGAGAAGGGCCUGGUGCCCCUCUUUGCAGGGCAGCGCAGGUAGGAUCUUCCCCUUUGGGAAGUUGGAAGGCUUGGGGGCUGCACAGGAGUCAAUGGGGGGGCGGGGUCCCCACACCGGAAGUCACUCAGGAGCGGGGAGCCAGGUGACGGAAGCCAGGC
Long non-coding RNA from Pipistrellus kuhlii (Kuhl's pipistrelle), 285 nucleotides. RefSeq lists it as uncharacterized. The transcript has 3 exons. The record is from RefSeq and is a predicted model, not a curated record. Lineage: Eukaryota; Metazoa; Chordata; Mammalia; Chiroptera; Vespertilionidae.